Cinara cedri is the source of this 416-nucleotide non-coding RNA. The record is from the annotation of a GenBank genome assembly. Lineage: Eukaryota; Metazoa; Arthropoda; Insecta; Hemiptera; Aphididae.
UUUUUUUUUUCUUUUUUACACGCGGAAUUUCGUAUCUUUCACUAGAAACGUUCGUGUUUCGCCGAACACGUUGCUAUUAUAUUGGCCGGUAUUAUUGUUCUCGUGAAUAUUAAUCGUGUGGGCAAUAACACACACGUGAACGAUUGUCAUCGCGUUUUCAAAUAAGACGAGUUUCGUAUACGCGACGCACCCAUGGUGUGCGGAACGUCGCGUUACAGUCCAAUAUUUCCCGUGAACUAAUUAUCAUUUCAAAACAUAUAAAAAUACGAUUCACGCGAAAACCCGUCGAGACCUUGCGGCGUGGUCCUCGUGUGUUUCGGUAGAGUAGUGGACACUGUUCCGCUAUUGGUCGUUUAGGUGGCGGCAUCGUGGCGUUUGAACACCUCGUAGUGUGCCCGCGUAGAGAAAACCGUCCG